CCGGUCAACAGCUGGGGCCUGACCCAGCUGGACCCACUACAGGGUGACAGGCUGUUUGGGAAACAAUUUCUCUCCAGAGUCAGCAGGACUGGCCUGGGAGAGGAGGGCCAGCCAUGGUCUCCGCACACAAAGAAGUGACAGUCCUGAGCAGAGCCACUAGAAUGAGCAAGUGGAGAGCAAGUUAGAGUGAAGAGUGGAGGUGAGAGGAAGUGGGCUGCCUGCCAUCCUGAGAAAGAAAAGGGGAGCUGGCAGCCUAACCCAGCUCCCUCCAGAGAGCUCUCUGAUUAGAGCAAAAAAGCAAAACCUCACCAUCUCCUGCAAGCACUGGGAAAGCUCCCUUCAGAGUCAGGGCUGAAAAUUCACAGGACGCUUGCCGAGUGGGACUCCAGGUUUGAGAAAGUCUGAUUCCUGGGAGCACCGUGGGCAACUCAGUGCCUCCUCCUGGGCUCUGAUGUUCUCACCUGUAUCAGUGCAGUGGGAUAAAGACUCAGGUUCUCCAACCCCCAGCACAGUGCCUGUGGUCCAGGUGCCAGGUGUCUGACCUGAGAGGAUGCUCCUCCAUCAUCCUUCCUGGUGAAUGAGAAUGAUCACAAUGGGAAUGAAGCCUAAUGUUAUUCCUCAAACAAUGGGAGCAUCCUGGAGGCCUAGAAAGAUGCAGACAUUUGUUUUUAAUGUAAUGUUAGCAUGGCCAGAGCUCGGUUUCAUAUUUUAUGUCCUACUCGAUCAUUAUCAAUAGCUAAUGUAGUGAAUGCUUUCUAAUGGAAGGCCCUGUGCUUAGCAUUUACAUGAAUAUUUCUCUGAACCAUCACAAUUUAAUUUCAUAGCAUUAAUUAUAAUUUUAAGCAGAAGGUUUCAAGAUGUUGGUGACCAAGAUGUUAAAAUGUUUCUGUGCAACACAUUUCCCACAACCUGCUGUAAACUAAGUACUGUAUAAUUAUAGUGCUGAGCAUAUACUAGGUUAUUCUAGGAUGUCAAGGUCACACUUGCCCCGGAGAUUUCUGGCUCUGAACCUCAUGCACCUGUUUUGCGAUCUAUAAAGAGGAGUGUUUCCCCAUCUGUUUUGUCUCCCUCAUUUGAGUGAGCUGAGAAUCCAC
This is a long non-coding RNA of Heterocephalus glaber (naked mole-rat), 1094 nucleotides long. NCBI's taxonomy places the organism in Eukaryota, Metazoa, Chordata, Mammalia, Rodentia, Bathyergidae. The record is from Ensembl.